Molecule: ribosomal RNA, 692 nt
Filed under: uncultured bacterium
Lineage: Bacteria
Description: bacterial SSU rRNA
Rfam family: Bacterial small subunit ribosomal RNA
Source: RNAcentral
ACAGUUUGAUCCUGGCUCAGAGCGAACGCUGGCGGCAGGCCUAACACAUGCAAGUCGAACGGAUCCUUCGGGAUUAGUGGCGGACGGGUGAGUAACACGUGGGAACGUGCCCUUUGGUUCGGAACAACUCAGGGAAACUUGAGCUAAUACCGGAUGUGCCCUUCGGGGGAAAGAUUUAUCGCCAUUGGAGCGGCCCGCGUCUGAUUAGCUAGUUGGUGGGGUAAAGGCCCACCAAGGCGACGAUCAGUAGCUGGUCUGAGAGGAUGAUCAGCCACAUUGGGACUGAGACACGGCCCAAACUCCUACGGGAGGCAGCAGUGGGGAAUCUUGCGCAAUGGGCGAAAGCCUGACGCAGCCAUGCCGCGUGAAUGAUGAAGGUCUUAGGAUUGUAAAAUUCUUUCACCGGGGACGAUAAUGACGGUACCCGGAGAAGAAGCCCCGGCUAACUUCGUGCCAGCAGCCGCGGUAAUACGAAGGGGGCUAGCGUUGCUCGGAAUUACUGGGCGUAAAGGGAGCGUAGGCGGACUGUUAAGUUAGAGGUGAAAGCCCAGGGCUCAACCUUGGAAUUGCCUUUGAUACUGGCAGUCUUGAGUACGGAAGAGGUAUGUGGAACUCCGAGUGUAGAGGUGAAAUUCGUAGAUAUUCGGAAGAGCACCAGUGGCGAAGGCGACAUACUGGUCCGUUACUGACGC